AUGGGGCUCGAGGGGCAAACGGCGGCGGCGGCGGUGCACGGGCACCGGCUGUCGACGGUGGUGCCGAGCUCGGUGACGGAGGUGGAGGGGUACGGGCUGGGGGACGCGGACCUGGCGUUCCGGCUGCACUACCUGCGCGGGGUGUACUACUACGCGGCGGGGGAGGUGGUGCGCGGGGUGACCACCAAGGUGCUCAAGGACCCCAUGUUCCCCUGGCUGGACGCCUACUACCCCGUGGCCGGCCGCGUCCGCCGCCCCGCUGACGACGAGCAGGAGGCCUCGCGCCGGCCCUACGUCAAGUGCAACGACUGCGGCGUCCGCAUCGUGGAGGCCCGGUGCGAGCGCGCGCUGGACGAGUGGCUCCGCGACGGCGCCGUCGACCGCGUCCGCCAGCUCUGCUACGACAAGGUGCUCGGCCCCGAGCUCUUCUUCUCCCCGCUGCUCUACGUCCAGGUCACAAACUUCAAGUGUGGAGCGAUGGCGCUGGGGUUCAGCUGGGCGCACCUCAUCGGCGACGUGGCCACGGCGACCACCUGCUUCAACCACUGGGCAAAGAUACUGGGCGGCAAGACGCCAGGCGCCGUCACCGUCAACCCCAAGAACGAGCCGCAGGACCGCGCGCCCGCCGACGCCGCCGUGCCGCGCUCCGUGAAGCCGGUCGGGCCCAUCGAGGACUACUGGUUUGUCCCCGCCGGCGUCGACAUGGCGGGCUACUCCUUCCACGUCACCGAGCCGAUGCUCACGAGGCUGCAGCAGCAGGAGCCAGCGGCUGCCGGCGGCGCCUUCGAGCUCAUCUCGGCGCUCCUGUGGCAGACGGUGGCGAAGAUCAGGGCCGGCAAGGAGGUGAAGACGGUGACGGUGGUGAGGAACGACAUGUCGGCCAGGAGCGGCAACUCCCUGGCCAACGAGCAGAGGGUCGGGUACGUGGAGGCGGGCUCGCCGCCGGCCAAGUCCGACGUGUCCGAGCUGGCGGCGCUGCUGGCCAAGAACGUCGUCGACGAGACCGCGGCGGUGGUGGCGUUCCCGGGGGACGUGGUCAUCUACGGCGCGAACCUGACCUUCGUGGACAUGGAGCAGGUGGACCUGUACGGGCUGGAGAUCAAGGGGCAGCGGCCCGCGCACGUGGAGUACGGCUUGGACGGCGUCGGCGAGGAGGGCGCCGUGCUGGUGCAGCCGGACGCCGACGGGCGCGGCCGCGUCGUCACGGCGGUGCUGCCCAAGGACGAGGUGGAGGCCCUCCGCGCCGCGCUCGGGAGCACGCUCCUGCAGCCGGCUCCCUGA
This 1281-nucleotide ribosomal RNA is filed under the name Triticum aestivum (bread wheat). Its description in RNAcentral is "partial small subunit ribosomal RNA". The record is from RNAcentral. Lineage: Eukaryota; Viridiplantae; Streptophyta; Magnoliopsida; Poales; Poaceae.